RNAcentral lists this ribosomal RNA (443 nucleotides) under uncultured bacterium. RNAcentral describes it as "bacterial SSU rRNA". It matches the Rfam family "Bacterial small subunit ribosomal RNA", at positions 80 to 518 of the family's 1533-position model. The record is from RNAcentral.
UUGGACCGGACCGGACCGGCGACGGACGGAGUAACGACGUACUAGCACCACGACCCAUAACAGGGGGAUAACCCGGAGAAAUCCGGACUAAUACCGCAUAAGACCACGAUAUCGCAUGAUAUAGAGGUCAAAUAUUUAUAGGUUAUGGACGGGCAUGCGUCUGAUUAGCUGGUUGGCGGGGUAACGCCCACAAGGCAUCGAUCAGUAGGGGUUCUGAGAGGAAGGUCCCCCACAUUGGAACUGAGACACGGUCCAAACUCCUACGGGAGGCAGCAGUGAGGAAUAUUGGUCAAUGGGCGAAAGCCUGAACCAGCCAUGUCGCGUGAAGGAAUGAAGGUCCUAUGGAUUGUAAACUUCUUUUGCAGGAGGGUAAAGUGAGCUACGUGUAGUUCAUUGCAAGUACCCUGCGAAUAAGCAUCGGCUAACUCCGUGCCAGCCGCUGC